CCGGAGCCGUUCCUAUUCGGCCAUCUUGGCUCCUCCAGGCCCUUAAAAUUAUAUUUCUUUCAUACUAAAGUGUGGGAGGAAAUAUGGGUAUCACCUUCCUGGCGAUUUCCCAUGGCUGGGACCUCUUAGGAAGCAGUCUCCCUAGAGUAUUUCAAAAUAAUUAUGAAAUACCUACUUCCUGUCGAAAGGUGUCCCUCCUAUUUACUCUGAGUUUUCAUAAAUAAUUUACAAUACAAAAGUAUUUGAUGGUGUGACAUUUUAAAGACAAGGAACAGAAUGAUUCCUAAAGGCUCCUCCAUAUCUAUAACAUUUUAAAAAAUCAACCGAUUGCUGUUUGUAAUCUCUCCCUGAUUUUGCUGCAAAUGACUAAUCUUAGUAUUUUCCUUCUUGUUGCAGUUCUCACCUUGAUGAUUUUAUAAAUACCUGUGCAAUCAUUUAAGGAUGCUGUUAUAACUUGCUAUCACAGGAUUCAGGUCCAAGAACCCUCUCUUAGGAUCUGCACUGGGACCUACCCCUUUUUGGCAACAUGUUCUUGGCAACCACGAAGGGACUAUCCUGAGGAGAUCCCUGACCCAAAGGAAAUAGACUGCAGAACCAAUUGGCUGACUUUGGCGGGUCAAAGAAUAUGUGAGAUUCCCCACACAUUUAUGCCACAGGAGGAGAAAAGCCUGCCUAGGGGUGUUUUAACUUAUGCCCAGAAGUACCACCUGGAAGAGGCAACGAGACUUUAUUCAUAAGAAUCUAAGUGGAGCAUUCUCCCAGACAACCAGCGGCGGAGCAAGGAGGGGCUGGCCAAACAGUGACGUUGACUGGUGCAUGAGACGAACAGAGGCUCACAGAAGAGCCUCUGAAGAGCCCACAAAAAAUGUCCAUAAGGUAAAAGAGUCAGCUUUGAACUUAUUUUUCAGUAGGCAACAGAAGCUUCACAGAAGAGAGCUUGAAGCUCUCUUGAAGCAGCAUCAUGGUUCAAGCAAUA
RNAcentral lists this long non-coding RNA (976 nucleotides) under Homo sapiens (human). Its description in RNAcentral is "HSALNT0330101". The record is from RNAcentral. Lineage: Eukaryota; Metazoa; Chordata; Mammalia; Primates; Hominidae.